Molecule: ribosomal RNA, 504 nt
Filed under: uncultured bacterium
Lineage: Bacteria
Description: partial 16S ribosomal RNA
Rfam family: Bacterial small subunit ribosomal RNA
Source: RNAcentral
AUUGAACGCUGGCGGCAUGCUUUACACAUGCAAGUCGAACGGUAGCACAGAGAGCUUGCUCUCGGGUGACGAGUGGCGGACGGGUGAGUAAUGUCUGGGAAACUGCCCGAUGGAGGGGGAUAACUACUGGAAACGGUAGCUAAUACCGCAUAACGUCGCAAGACCAAAGUGGGGGACCUUCGGGCCUCACACCAUCGGAUGUGCCCAGAUGGGAUUAGCUAGUAGGUGGGGUAAUGGCUCACCUAGGCGACGAUCCCUAGCUGGUCUGAGAGGAUGACCAGCCGCACUGGAACUGAGACACGGUCCAGACUCCUACGGGAGGCAGCAGUGGGGAAUAUUGCACAAUGGGCGCAAGCCUGAUGCAGCCAUGCCGCGUGUAUGAAGAAGGCCUUCGGGUUGUAAAGUACUUUCAGCGGGGAGGAAGGCGGUGGAGUUAAUAACUUCACCGAUUGACGUUACCCGCAGAAGAAGCACCGGCUAACUCCGUGCCAGCCGCCGCGGUAA